UUAAAACAAAGAAUUGCCAAGUGCAAUGGCACAUGCCUGUAAUCCCAGAGGUGUUGAAAGAUGAGGGAGGAGGAUUGCAAGUUUGAGGCCAGCCUCAGCAACUUAGUGAGGCCCUAAGGACUUAACAAAGCCCUAAGAAUUAGCAAGACCCUGUUUCAAAAUAAAAAAUAAAAGGGGCUGGAGAUAUGGCUCACUGGUAAAGUGCCCCAGGUUCAAUCUUCAGUACCAAAAAGAACAAAGAAUCACUUUUACCUAACUCUGAGUAGGCCCUGAAAACCUAACAUGUUAAAUAAUGGAGUUUACAUAACUUAGUUCACAUCCACUGCUUUUACUUACACCUCUUUAGCCCCUGGGGUUUCCUGGUUUAGGUGGUGGUUGUUGAUAAUAUUGUUGGUGGUGCUGGUACUGAGUGUUGAGCCCAAGAGCACUUUAGCACUGAACUACGUCCCCAACCCUUUUUUGUUUUAUAAUUUUAGACAGGGUCUUGCUAAGUUUCUUAGGGUCUCCCUAACUUGCUGAGGCUGGCCUUGAACUAGAGAUCAUCCUGUCUCAGCCUUUCAAGUUACUACCAUUACAAGAUUUCCCAACCUUGCCCAGCCAAGGGAUAAUUCUUAAAGGCAAAAGACUAUCUUAAACAUAAUAAUUCAAGUAUUCAGAACAUAAUCACAUCUGUCUGUAAAGCCUAUGGAAAAUACAGCAAUGAGAUACAGAAGGAGGCUAUGCUGUGGGCCUGGAAACUUUUUUAUGUGUAAUAAAUGGAAGAAAGAAUUCUGUGUUGAACCAGUAGAGAGGAACUAAAGUGAGAUUGUGGGUGAGUUCAGGCAUAUAGGGGAAAAAAUGAGAAAAGCAAAAUGUGUGUGAUAUUUGAGAAGAUAAAGUAGUAUCAAUAAGUGGGUUAGAUUUCUUUGCUAAAAUAAACAACUUUUAUUCAAAAUAUAAACCCCAGGUAAGGCAAUCAAAAAUGCAAAACUAAGAGACACAUAUUAUUUCUCAUUUAAGAGUUUAAAAAAUGAAUUUUACUGUGGCUCAGUGGUAGAGUACUUGCCUAGUAUGUGUGAGGCACUGGGUUCUAUUGUCAGAACUGCACAUAAAUACAUAAAACAAAGGUCUAUUAAAAAAGAAAGAAUGAAAGAAAAAAAGGUAUAUUUUAAUCAUUGUGAAAUCUGUCCAUCUCAUACAUUAAGUAUAUUAUUUUACAGGAAAUGAAAUCAAAAUAUAGGAAGUGUUCCUUUUUGUGGGGAAUCUGUAAGAUAAAUUGCUAUAAUUAAAUAAUAGGUACCAAUUUAUAUGUAUGAGCUCGCAAAUUCAUACCUGUGGACCUUAAAUAAGGGAGACAAGAAUCAAAGCCACUUUGAAAAAAAUAGGAGGGCAUUUGAAAAAUAGAAAAAGUUUCUGUUAGAUGUUGUGUGCAAGCAUUUUAAAUAUUGCAGAGCUCUGAGCUUUUAGAAGUGUGAUAUGUUCAUCCAUGGAGGGGGAAGGUAACUUGCAGAGUCUUGGAAAUUUGGAGUGCGUAUACAUGUGUGUCGUGCACUGGUAAAAUUGAAUUUUUAAUCUUUUCUUCCAUUUCAUUUGAAACAGAAAAUGUGAAAACAAGGUCAUUUGGUAUUCAAGCUAAUAAUCACAUUCAUGAUGACAGACACUUCACAGGUGAGUAGAGUUGGCAGUAGGAGGAAAUUAGGACCAUAAUUUCUAACAUGAAAUCCAAAGAACAGGGGAAGAAACAAAUGGAAAAUUGAAAACAGAGUUAACAUUCUAUUAGGAGAGACUAUGUAAGGAGACACUGAUAGUCUUCAAAAUCUAGUUAAAGAAACCAUUUUAUAAAUGUCUGUGUACUUUGUAGAUUUAUAUGAAAACAGAUAUUUAACCAAAGUAUGUGAAUCAAAAAACACUAAAUAUGGGUAAGAAGAUGUAGUUUGUGAUUAUUUAUAAAAAAUCAUUCUGUAUUUAGACAGAAAUAAUUGAUGAGAAUUUUAUGAAGAUAAAACUGAUCAAUUAAAAGCAUACAUUACACCAUGACUGGCCAAAGCUGCAGCCUGGACCUGGAAGAAACCCUGAGCCAUGUUGGUGAAGCUGCUCACACAAGUACUGUCCAACGUAAGGAAAGCAGAUGGCGAUGAGCUGGGAUUCCAUGAAGGAGUGGUGGGGUCA
Molecule: long non-coding RNA, 2148 nt
Filed under: Marmota monax (woodchuck)
Lineage: Eukaryota; Metazoa; Chordata; Mammalia; Rodentia; Sciuridae
Source: RNAcentral